GAGAAUGUCGGCUUGAGUAGCGCAAACAUUGGUGAGAAUCCAAUGCCCCGAAACCCUAAGGGUUCCAGAGGCAGGUUCGUCCACUCUGGGUUAGUCGGGACCUAAGGCGAGGUCGAAAGGCGUAGUCGAUGGAGACCGGGUCAACAAUCCCGGACUACAAUAUGGGAGCAAAACUAGGGACGCAUGAAAGAUAGCCACGCCCUGAAUGGAUUGGGAAGACCGUUACGACGGUCGAGUGGUGAAGGAAAGUGUCAAGAAAAGCUAGGGUUGUGAUGAACAUAUAGUACCCGUACCCGAAACCGACACAGGUAGGGAGGUUGAGAAUACCAAGGGGCGCGAGAUAACUCUCUCUAAGGAACUCGGCAAAAUGGCCCCGUAACUUAGGAAGAAGGGGUGCCUGCCGAAAGGCAGGUCGCAGUGAA
Molecule: ribosomal RNA, 422 nt
Filed under: Cylindrospermopsis raciborskii S06
Lineage: Bacteria; Bacillati; Cyanobacteriota; Cyanophyceae; Nostocales; Aphanizomenonaceae
Description: bacterial LSU rRNA
Rfam family: Bacterial large subunit ribosomal RNA
Source: RNAcentral